Molecule: ribosomal RNA, 576 nt
Filed under: Triticum aestivum (bread wheat)
Lineage: Eukaryota; Viridiplantae; Streptophyta; Magnoliopsida; Poales; Poaceae
Description: partial small subunit ribosomal RNA
Source: RNAcentral
AUGAGCGAAGAGGCCCAAUGCGCCAUUCUAACAGACACAGACCACGGUCCGAAGGGACGGCCACGAAAACCACUGCCAGGCUACACAACAUUCUUCAAAGUGACAGUCAUCACCUUGGGAUAUCAUAGGAGGCCUUACAGCAUGUGCACUUUCUCUUCCACUGAGUCGAGUUGGAGCGCACCUAGAAGGUGCUUUGCACUUCUGGAGUAUACCUUCGUCCAUGGCAACCUUGUCGUGUCUCGGGGCAAGGUGCACUGGCUCAUCAAGGGCUUGGGCCAUUUUUGGACCCUUGGAUUCUGCAUUGAGACUGAGCACAUCUCCAUAACACAGCUUCCGAUUCCACAGGACUUCUGCGAAUACAACAGCUUUAACCAUUCACCGGUACUUAGCGUGGCAGCUGAUGGCAAAUUAUCACUGAUUUGCCUACAUAAAAAUUUCCUCCAGGUACAGAUAUUUACAUGUAAAGGUGACGAAGGAGAUGGCAAUGGUGUUGCUGACGCACUACAUACUGAGGUCAUCGAGCUCAAACACAAACCAAGGCAGACCACCAAAGCACUCUACAUGUAUGUGGGCUAG